Molecule: ribosomal RNA, 453 nt
Filed under: uncultured bacterium
Lineage: Bacteria
Description: bacterial SSU rRNA
Rfam family: Bacterial small subunit ribosomal RNA
Source: RNAcentral
ACUCCUACGGGAGGCAGCAGUGGGGAAUCUUAGACAAUGGGCGAAAGCCUGAUCUAGCGAUGCCGCGUGUGUGACGAAGGCCUUAGGGUCGUAAAGCACUUUCGCCAGGGGAUGAUAAUGACAGUACCUGGUAAAGAAACCCCGGCUAACUCCGUGCCAGCAGCCGCGGUAAUACGGGAGGGGGUUAGCGUUGUUCGGAAUUACUGGGGCGUAAAGCGCGCGUAGGCGGACUAUUAAGUCAGGGGUGAAAUCCCGGGGCUCAACCCCGGAACUGCCUUUGAUACUGGUAGUCUUGAGUUCGAGAGAGGUGAGUGGAAUUCCGAGUGUAGAGGUGAAAUUCGUAGAUAAUUCGGAGGAACACCAGUGGCGAAGGCGGCUCACUGGCUCGAUACUGACGCUGAGGUGCGAAGGUGUGGGGAGCAAACAGGAUUAGAUACCCGUGGUAGCGACUGA